CACAAUAAAAUAUGAAGGCUGUACGCGGCUGUGCUCUCGGGCCAGUUUUGCGGAGGCUGAAUUAUUUAUUAGCCCUUGGUCAUUUAGGAAAGUCGUCACAGGUUUCGUAGGUUACCUGGGGCUAAGGGUUCGGGCCCCUGCGCACCGUAGGGGGGACCAUCAUAAACCUUUUUAUGCAGUUGCAAUCAGCGUCAGUAUAAACAAUGUAAUCAUUUA
RNAcentral lists this unclassified non-coding RNA (216 nucleotides) under soil metagenome. Its description in RNAcentral is "partial internal transcribed spacer 1". The record is from RNAcentral.